Molecule: long non-coding RNA, 13317 nt
Filed under: Fragaria vesca (wild strawberry)
Lineage: Eukaryota; Viridiplantae; Streptophyta; Magnoliopsida; Rosales; Rosaceae
Description: long non-coding RNA (FVES_LNC001536)
Source: RNAcentral
GGGGAUAUAACCUGUGAAUUGGUUGUUCGUGACAUUGAAAUGAGACAAGUUCUUUGCUUGUUGGAAGAAGGAUGAUGGAAUUGCACCAUGGAACCGAUUGCUAGAAAAAUCCACCAUCCGAAUAUUAUUGGAUGAUGAUAGAGAACCUGGUAGCUCUCCAGAAAGAAAGUUAAAACUCAAAUCAAGUACCUCAAGACGACCCAGGGACAAGAAGAAUCCAGCUUGAUCUAAAGAACCACGAAGUGAAUUGCGAGAGAGAUUGAGGUAGGUUAGAUGUGUGAGAUUACUGAGUGAUGAUGAGGAAAAAAGAUCUCCUUUGAGUUUGAGGCCUUUGGAGGAUAGGUGCAAAUGGGUUACUCGACCAACCGCAUCACAAGUAAUGCCUUCCCAUUUGCAACAAUCCAAGCUAGUCCAAUUUAAGGAAGGAGAAGACAGAGUGAGGGCAAAAGACAAGAGAGAGGUUCUUUCACUUGAGGAGUAUGCAUGAAUAUGUGUAGAUGAAAUGGAGCCAAGUAGAAUAAGAAGCAAGUAUUGAGCUAUUGGGUGAUAAGGUUGCCCUGCUAGCAUCUUUCUUGGUUUGUGGGACAGUUCAGGUUUAGUUUGAGUUGCUCACCUAGCUAGCCUUGUGCUUGUUUAUAUAACCAAGAGCCUUCACUUUUUUCUUAGCUUCAAUUCUUGAAACAGUAGCCUUGCAUCAAAUUUUUCAUUGACGCUGGAGUCACUUAGAUACUGAUAAAGUAGCAUGAGGUUCACAUCCAAAACCAUUUGGCAAUGGGUGGAGUGGCCCAAACUCUUAUAAACCCACAUGCAAUGUCUCAUAUUCCCAAUGUGGGAUCGAUAUCUUAACACGCCCCCGCACGUUCGUGUGACCGUUACUCAUUCACACGUGGACAUGGAUAACCCGUUCUGAUAUCAUGAUAAAGUAUUAUGGGGUUCACAUCUAAAACCGAUUGGCAAUGGGUGGAGUGACCCAAACCUUUAUAAACUCACAGGUAAGGUCUCAUAUUUUCGAUGCAGGAUCGAUAUCUCAACAGAUACUCAUGACAUUUGACGCAUGCAUGUAGACUUCUCGAUUACAUGUGAAAUGGAGUUAUGGAGUGAACAACAAAGAUCAUGUUUGGCUGGGUGAGUAAUGUUUAUCAUGAAGGCAGACAUUGGGAUCCAGACAUUGUCGUUACAUCAAUUAAAUUAAGUCCAUGUUGGCGUGCUGUGUGCUGUUGAUGACUUUCAAAAUGUUGAUUUCUCUGAAAUGUGAGUGGGUUGUGACUUGUUAAGUUUUUGAUUAUUUGUAAACCUAACAUUGUAGAGGUUAUGACUCCGAACAAACUAUUAUAUGAGAAUAUGCGGGGUGGGAAAACAAACAGAAAGAAGGAAGAACUAAUUUCUAGUCUUGUGGUGUUAGUGACGAAGGGGAUGGAAGAACCCCCAUAGGAUGAGGAAGUCAGUGAAAUUAAUGACCUUGUAUUAAAUUUUUCAUUGACGUUGGAGUCACUAAGAUAUUGACGUCCGACGCACCCAUGUAGACUUCUUACUUACAUCUUGUAUGGCUCUGUGACCAUCAAAAAUCUAAGAAGAUAUAACUUUUAAGAAGAUAUACUAGAAAUGCAACUUAGUGACCAAUAAAAAUUUGGGAAGAUAUACUAGAGGAAAUAAAUAAGGAAUAAGUCAAGAAGUCAAUAACAAACUUGGGAAAGGACAGUAUUUCUCGGUUUGAAUAUUAGGCCAAUUACAUAUAAGUCCAUCCAAAUAGGUGAAAAAAUGUUUAAAAAGUGAUUAAGGUGAAAUUUUCUAUUGAAUAUUCUAAGUAGGCAACUUGCAAAGAAGGAGCUACUGUCAUGAAAACCAUAAGAAAGCCAAACCCCCUGAACCGGUCCACAUUACUACAACCAAAAACGCGCUUCUGAGGUCUGGUUUUUGACCAAUCUCACAUUUUCUACAUCACCUUCUUCUUUGUUCCUCUUCCCAUUUUACACUUCUAGUUUCCCUUCCGGAGACGUUUGGCAGACUUGACUAGAUUGGAUUGGCAAAGCCAGAUUGGAUUGGUAAAGGAUUUUGAUUUGCUACUCUUAUCUAGUGUUUGGAGCAACCAGAUAACAAUAUUACUGGAUAAGAAUAUUUAAACAAAAUCAAAUGAAUUAAAAGAAGAUAUCAAUUUAAAUUUCCAAUUAUUAUGAAAAUAAAUUGGAUGAAGUUUACAGAUCUGCAGAUCGAUAAGAUACAUCUUUGAAGAGAAUAGUCCAUAUCAGCUUUCAAUUUCUAGCCAUAGAUUUAGCCGAAAUGAGUCUAAUUUUGCUAUGUGAUUCCCUCUUCGGAUCAGAUCAUCCACAACGUGGUUGAGAAAAAUAAUUUGAUCAUGAAAUUCUUAAGAAAAAUACUAUUUCAUCCUUCCAAAAUCUAAAAUGACUCAAUUAUAUUGUAUUUUUUUUAUAUGAAAACAAUUUUUAUUCUUCAAUCAAGAAUCGAAAAUUUUCAUGUAAUUCAGUCAAUAGAUUUGCAUGACACGUACAUGUACGUGAAUUAGAACUUUGUUGCGUUCCGAAAUUUUUUUAACAAUACAUUCAUAUGAUAUUAUGCUUAUUUGUGUGUGUAUAUGAUGAGCGUUAGUUUCAUAAUACAAAGCUAACUCCCCAUUAACUAAAAUUUUCGGUCAUAUAUCUAGAUCUUCCAAUCUUCAGUUUAUAGUUCCCUAUGUGCGUUACAGAAAAUUUUCAGCCAAUCUAAUGAUGGUUUGGGUAUCGAGCAGUGUCAAAUUAAUGGACGAACCGAUAUUUAACUUAAACCGAUCAUGUUCAUAAUUAAUAAAUCACUAUUUUGAAUACCCAAACGAUUGUCAAAUUGGCUGGAAAUAUUCAGGGAUGAUCCACGCAUAGGGAACUACAUGCUGAACAAUGAAAGAUCCAGACAUAUGACCGAAAAGUUGGGUUAAGGGCGGGUUAGCUUUGAAUUAUGAAACUAACCGGUUAGUUCUAUAACGCAUCAUUCAGUUUGUGUGUGUGUGUAUACAAUCUCUAUCCACAGCGAAACUUCGUUUUGAAAUUAAAAUGUGAAGUGCAAUUUUUGACUCAUUUUUUAGUUAUAUUUUCACAUUUUCACCGUUCAGUUUACAGAAUCUAAUGCAUAGAUUGGUCUUAAGUGCUUAAAACGUCCUGUUUAGUUUGUAAACACACAGUGUUUCGUGCUAUCGGUGUGACCGUGUUAGGUAGCCGUGAGAUGUAGUAACCAGUGUCAGAAUGACACGUGUCUGUCAUGUCCACGACUCAUCUAUAUGAGCUGCUGCUUUCUUCUUUUGAGAUAUGCAUGACCUAUUUUUUUUUGUUAACUUUUUUAUUAAAUAACUUACACACUUUUAUAUCGGUGAUGUUUGAAUUCAUGAUGAAAUCAACGUUGUUGAUUAAGUUACCGAAUCAACCAGGCACGGCUCACGAACUAUGCAUGACCAUUUUACUUUCUUAGAUAUUUUAUUGACACUUUCAUUUUCUUCUAAAACGUUAGGGUUAGAACCCCAACACUCUUUUGGGGAUAAAGUUAACCAAGAGAGAAGUUCCAGAAUGAGAAUCUGCAAUUGUAUUACACUAUUACAAGUUUACAACCACCAUCAGAAUCCAUCACAAUAUCAUGCAUAGAAGCAUGUUCAAGUCCUAUCAUGGUAUACAUCUCCAUUGAAAAAUUUGAAAGUAGAAUAUCGAAUAUGCUUUUUUUUAGGGUGGUGCUAUAUUAACACAUCUUUUUUUUUUUCCUAUUAACACAUCAUAUAUAUAAUGAGAACCAAUUAUCGAUCAAAUUCAAGUGACAAGUUUGUAAAUAAAAUAAAAAUAUGUGGAUAGAAAAAUAGAUGAAGUGUAUUAAUAGCAAUAAUUGGGUGUGGUAAUAACAAUACCCUUAUAAAUAGGCGAUNNNNNNNNNNNNNNNNNNNNAGACUGAGAGAGAGUUAGAGAUAGACGAUGAAAUUUGGAAUACUCGCCUAUUUAUAAAGAGAUUUUUAAGAAGAUGAAUCUUCUUCAUAACUCUGGUAACGGGUACUUGAUUUGCUUCAUUUUUGCUAGUAUAUUACACGAAACGCUGAAAAUUGUUAGAGAUUGCGCGAUUUAUGUUGAGUUUUUUUUUUUUUUUCCUGAUAUCUUCAUUAAAAAAGAUUUUGGGACCCUAAAUUUUAGGUUAAGGCCUAUCGCCCUGCUUGCCCAGAACCAGGGCCGGGCCUGUAUAAGUACUGUUUAAGCAAUAAGAUUGUCAUUUGUUUAUUUAGAUCGUUAGAAAUUUAGUUCAUUUGUAGGCUCCCUUGAAGGAUGAGGUUGUUUUAUGCACACCAAUAAUUCUAUGACUUGUGGAUACUAGGAGUUGACACACAAACUGUAUCCACGGAACACAGAUAUAGGAUACUGAGAUGGAUUGCGAGUCAUUACAGAAAUAUUUUUAACAGUUUUAUUAUAGGAUAGAAUAGUACUUAUGUUGAACUGUCAUGCUGUACAUGUAAGUACGUAGUGUAGUAAAAUAGAGCUGUAUAACAUAAAAGCUCCCUAGCCUCUUGAUAUUUCUCUUAUUCAUAUUCACUAUUUGACUAUAGUUUGACGGUACUAUGGAGCGCUUGGUGUUGGUGUAUUUCCACUCCUUCCCCAGAUCCCUGCAAAGUAAACAAAAUGGAAAAUGUACGUAUAUAUGGUAUUAGUUUAGUGAAUGAAACACUGGCACCACUCUAGUUUAACCCUAAAAAUGAGAAUGGGUUCAACCAACUAGUUACUGAUACACUUUCUGGAAAAGAAAAUGAAAUUGCACUUGUAUAUAUCAACUGAAUUGUUGUGGGUUAGAUAGGAAGAGAGAAAAAACAAAUACCUUCAAUGGGGGUGCCGGAUGGACCUGAAUUAAGGGAGACCAAACCGUUGUGAUUACACUUAGUAAUGCCCAUCCGACGAGGGUGACAAUGAAUAGAAAUCCGAUUUGAGGGAGAAGAUGACAGACCAGUUGAGCUGUGUUGAGGUUGGUUGGAUGCAUACGCAUGAAGAAUGUUAUUAGUAGAUAGAAAGGAACAGAAGAAGAUCAGGAAGAGAAAGAUUCUGCCCUGAGCCAUUGCCAUUUCUCCGGUAAGUUCAGUAUGAUUUCUCACCUAGUAUUGCCGGCUAUAUAUGGUAAAUUAGGAUUAUUUUGAUGCAAAUAAGUCAACAGAAUAGGCUAUCUCUCUGGUCCAAGUUGAUUAAGCCGAUUGAGACACGACCAGAAAGUCUAUAACCCAAUCUGACUGGCAUUACAUCUUUCGUUUUAGUCAAGAUAGAUCAUUAACCUUCGAACCAGUUAAACGAAAAUGAAAUGUUUUGACAAUACAUUGUAGCGGCGUAUUGAAAAAAUCGUAGAGGGUUCAGGGUUUGGAUCCUCUUACGCAUUGUGUACGUAGUCUACAGUAUAAUUCCCAUAUUAUUACUUCUGAUUUGUAUGUAGAAGAAGACUGCAGAAGAAGUUUGAGACAGACAACUUUGCCAACCUUUACAUAUCUAUAUUACCGGCAGCAAACAACUUUAACAACGGGAAAUAUACUGCAUAUGCAUGACCUUUCAGUCUAGCUUCCAUUAAGCCUGUUCUUCAUCCUUUUGAUCCCCACAUGCAGCUUUCAUCACAUAGAGGCUGUCAUAUGCAUUAUUGAGAAAUUGGAAAUAAGCAUAUCUCCAGGUCUUGAUAAAAAUCAAAGAACCACAUACUGACCAAAAUCCUACGAAAAACCCAAGCACAACUGGAAAUAUAAACCAUGGGACCUGAUCCUGUUGUUAUCAUCUCCAUCAAGGUCAUCAUUUGGGAGUGCUGGUUGGCAUUCAUAUGGAAGUGGAAGACAACAGAGGUUGGGAUUCCCCUCAAAUGCAGAUGCACCGAAGCUUUGCAACUGAGUGCCUGUUGGUAUUUGUCCUUCCACAUUAUUGUAUGAGACAUUAAAUACUGCCAAGAAAUUAAGGCUUGUUAAUGAUGCAGGCAUAUUUCCAGAGAAAUGAUUUACGGAGAGAUCCAAUGUUGCCAAGUCUUUGAGGUUGGAUGUUUGGUCUGGAAUCUUGCCUGAGAAGAAAUUGUUUGCAAGGUUCAACACACGGAGAAGCUUCGAUUGGCCAAUCUCAUUCGGUAUAUAUCCAGUCAUGUUAUUGUUCAUUAGUACUAAGGCCACUGGAAAUAACAACAAAGAAUUGUAUUGUUGAGCUCGCUUGCCAUCAGCAGUGAAGUAGAUAGGCAAUUCGAGAUCAUCACUGGACAAGUUGUUGUUUUGAGAUACCAACAUUGGCACUUUGGCAGGCUGCAAAGUUCCUUUGGAAAUUCCCCAGAAAUGAGGUUGGCUCCCAAGUCUAUGUGUAAGAGCCUAGGAAGAGUCCCAAGCUGACUAGGAAUUUGUCCUUUGAAUUUAUUUGUAUUCAGAUUCAAAACCUCUAGUUUCUUGAGCUUAGAUAACCAUACAGGUAUUUGACCGAUGAGCUCGUUCUGACUCAAAUCCAAAAAUCCAAGAUUUUUGAAUCCAUCAAAAUCAGAUAUGCCAAGAUUAGCUGGAACUGCCCCCACUUGGAAACUAGAUGCCAAGGAUAAGAACACUAGACUUUCGCAACGCAUGAGUAUCUUGAUUGCCCCUGUGAGAUUUGUCAAUCUAUUGAAAGAAAGCGAGAGAUAGGACAAGGAUUUCAAUGACUGAAUUCAUUAAAAUGGAGAUCAAGGAUUGCAAGGUUUGUGAGGUUGAAAAUGCCAUCACUAAGGACUCCGUAAAGUGAAUUGCGAGGUAAUGAUAUUUCUACAAGAGUGAUUACAUUAUACAUAUCUUCCGGAAUCCUACCGUCCGUCUUGACCUUUAGUUGUUUUGGACUUUGGUUACUCUUCUACCAUGUUUAUGGUUUGUUAAUGCUUUUUGCAUUUUUUAUUAUUUUUAAGGGGCGUUGGUCUCAAGUCCUCCCCUUUUUGUUGUUUUACCUCUCUUUAAUUAAAUAAAAUUUCUUGUUUUGCCCAAAAAAAAUAAAUACAUAUCUUCUGGAAGUAUUCCCAAAAGGUUGUUAUACCCAGCACGAAACACCUUGAGCUUGGAACACUCCCCUAGUCCAGGAGAUAUACUGCCGUUGAAGUUAUUGGAAGAAAAAUCUGACAUUCUGAUCAAUGGAGAAGAAGUGAAACAAAUGGGAGAUGGUAUGGAUCCUUUGAACUUAUUAUUGCUGACAUUGAAACUUGUCAGAAGAAUGAAGAUGGAAUGUCAGCAUUGAAAGAAUUAAUUGCUGAACAAAUAAUCCAGCAUCCGGAUACUCCCGGAUAGUGGAGAAAUUGGUAGUUCUCCAGAGAGAAUGUUAUAGCUCAAAUCAAGAUCAGAUGGCGGUUGGUGGUUGAGGACUUGAGAUCGUCGAUCAUCUUAGUGUGACAGUGGUCAGAUACAAGGCUAAUGAACAGUCGUGGAAGGAUGCACGGCUAGCUUGAACAAUAUUUCUGUCUCACUGAUCUUUCAACUCAAACUAAAAAUUGAAGGAGAGCCUUCCUUUUUUGAUGUGUAGAAAACAAGGAAGGAGCUAAGCAUUACUGUGUUGGUAUUGAUAUGGAUGCUUUUGGUUUCAUUAUUGCCUUAUUGGUGGCUUUGGAGAAGGAACUGACAUAGACAUGGUGAUGAAAAGACCUUGAAUCAUGAAGAGUUCAACGAAAAGAAAUGUUUGCUUUCUCCACUAGCAGUAGCAGUAGAAUUUCAUCAGCAGAAUAGAAAGGGCGGCGGAAGGAGGUGGUGACGACGGCAGGAGAUGGAGGGGGAGAAGAGCGAGCUCAGAGAAGGUAGUCUCAGAGAUACAGCCAUUUUUGGUGGGCCACACAGCCCGUUAAGGACCGCACCACUUGGACCGUCUAGCCCCACGUCACAUCUGCCUAGCCCGCAGGAAUUAUAAUCAGGCCCAACUUGUUUUAGACCCAACCCCCUCUUUUGUCUUUUUAAAUGGUGGACCCCUAAAGCCCGUUAAGGCCCGCUCAGGGCUGACCGCCUAGCCAUAGCACUUUUUUCUAGCCCGCAUGAAAUUAUUUUUCUUUUAUAUUUUCUUUUUACCUCUUAAAUUCUGGAAUUGGAAUUCCGCAGAGACGAAACAGAUGCAAAACAGAAUGAAACCGAAAGACAACGAUAAGAAGAAGAAUAAGAAGAAGAGAGAUCAUGAGAUUGAUGAUGAUUCUGAUUCUGUUUCUGGUGGUGAUGCGCAAGCGGUUGUGCAAGACUUGCUGAAGGAGUUUCCGAAUAUCGGGUGCGAUUUGAAGCAGCUUUUGCAAUUGAUCGAUGGCGGCAAAGCGGUCGACAUAAACGGAAUAGGUCAGAAGUGUCUGAUCAAGCCUCUCAGAGCUCUGUUCCUUUGCUUGGUUCUUAAGGAACUAGAUCACGGAUCUUUUGUUGCCUCCACAUGUUCCUCCAACUUUGGAGGUUAUUGGGUCCUUGAUCACGCCUUGUUUAGAUUUAGAUGAUGAAGAUGAUGAUCAUGGUCCUCCUCCUCCUUAUAGAAGGCCAAUUGGUCCGGAGAUGCCGACGCCAGAGCUACUUGCUGCUGCAGCCAAAUUGAGAGAGGCAGAGGCCGAGUUGAGGGAAGCUGAGUUGGAAGAAAAAGAUGAUGGUGUUUUAAUAGGGCCUGCACCGCAUGUUGCGGCUGCUGAAGUUGAAUCAGCUAACCAGGGUGAUCGUUUCGAAGAGGUGACAAGGAUCAUGGAAGCAGAGGAUGAUAGCAUGUAUGAUAUAUUGGGAGCAAACCACAAUGUGUCUGCUGAUAACAUCAAGAAAAGGUACCGGAAGUUGUCGCUUUUGGUGCACCCUGAUAAAUGCUCUCACCCUCAAGCUAGCCAAGCAUUUGUAAAGCUGAACAAGGCGUUUAAGGAGUUACAGGAUCCGCAGAAGCGGAGAGCGCUGGAUGAGAAGAUUGAGGUUAAGGAGAAGCAGGAAAGAUUCAAUGUGGAGUUGACGGCAAUGCGGGAAGCUGCAAUGUGAGCAAUGUGGAGAAAGAUGCAGGGGAUUUACAAGGAGGGUGAUGAGAAGCUACUGGCAGGUGAUGUGAGUGUUGUUAAAUCGGCACGAAAGAGAGAUGAGUGGAUGACAGAGCUUCCACCGGAGAGGAAACAUGGUACGAGUACAAUGCAAUCGACAAUAUUUAGCAGGAGUGCUAAACAAGGGCGUGGGGACACUAGCAGUUGGACUGAUGCUCCUGAGAGAGCUCGAAAAGCUAAGAUGGAUUACUUACAAGCGUGUAAUGAGUUUGCAUCACUUGCUUCGAAUGAGGAGGAGAGGAAGAGGAGUUUAGAUGCAGAGUUAAUGGACAGAUACAAUAAAGAGAAACGAUCGAAGUCAUUGUUACAAAAGCACAAAGAGGAGAUUAGAGCGAGCCGUUUGAAGAGAAAGUACUCCAAGCAACAGGUAGAGGUCCAGUAUUGUGAGGUUAGUCAGGUUGAUAAUUUUAUCAUUAAUGGCUCCAGAUAACGAAUUUCGAGCUAAUGAAAUUUCUUCAAGUGCAGAAGCAUUGUAGAUAUCGUCUGGAAGUAAUCCUGACUCCUGAGAGGUAAUUAUAACCGGCACGAAAGACCUGCAGUUCGGAACAUUUCCCGACUCCACGAGGAAUACCACCAUUGAAAUUAUUGAAGGAAAAAUCAAGGUGUCGUAACGAGGAACAAGGAAGACAAAUAGAGGAUGGGAUAGGACCUGAAAAGGUGUUACUGACAUUGAAACUAGUCAAGUUCCAAGCUUGUUGGAAAAAAGAAGAUGGAAUCAGACCAUGUAAGCGAUUAAUGGAAAAAUCCACCAUCUGAAUAUGACUGGAUGGUAGAGAAGAUGGUAACACUCCAAAGAGAAGGUUAUAGCUCAAAUCCAGGAUUUCGAGAUCAUUCAAGGACAAGAAGAGCUCAGUUUGAUCUAGAGAACCAAAAAGGGAAUUGUGUGAGAGAUUCAAGUAAGUGAGAUGUGUGAGAUUUGCAAGUGAUGAUGAGGGAAAAAUACCUUCCUUUAGUGUGAGCCCUUUGGAGGGUAAUCGCAAGUGGGUUACCCAAUCAUAUCGAUUACAAGUAAUCCCUUCCCAAUAGCAGCAAUUACUAGAAGUCCAGAAUAAGGAAGGGGAAGAUAGAGUGAGGGCAAAGGACAAGAGAGAGGUACGUUCAGUUUGGAUGCAUGCAUCAAUAUUAUGAGUAGAUAAAAUGAGAGAAAACAAGAUUAGCUUGAGAAUAAAGCCUUGUGUCACUGGGUACUCUUGUUGUACUGUUAUGUUUUUUCGAGGCUGAGCCAUGAUCAUGUGGUUGUGGACUUGUGAUAGAUUUUGAUCGUCAGUUUUUGCAUAUAUACAGAUUGAAGCAGAUUUGAAAUUCCAAGACGACCCAGAUUAUAUAUGAUACAUCUUGUCAAUGAAAUUAUACAAUUGGAAGAAAAUAAAACACGGCUGCAUAUAUUAAGGUGGAAAAUAGAAGCAAUGGCAUAUGGACAGAAGAAGGAAAAGCGCGGCUGGCGCCUGCUCCAGGUAACAAUUGAGGAGUAUGGUUUUCAUAUAUAAUAGCUAGCAGUUAGCAGAAGAACAAAUUUAGUAGAAACUAUGCUCUACUUCCAGAAGAUACUAACAUAAAGUCUUAAUUUACAACACCGAGAUCUUUAAAUUGGCAGCUAAGUAUAUAUUAUAGCAUAAAACACCAAAAACAGAGUUGCGGAGAGCUUCAGUAUUUCCAAUGUCUAGCUAGAUGUGUUGACCAUACAAAAUAUUGGAUAGCCUGAAGCUUGCAAAGUUAGUCUUCUUAGGAUGACAAGUAAUCAGAAUGUACUAAGCCUUCUAGAUAGUGUCCUUUAGUCUUUUCUUUUCCUUUUCUUUUUCUUUAAUUUUUCUGCCAUUAUCUCUUCAAAAGAAUGAACUAAGCUUUCUUAAUUUAGUUGGACCACUGUAAGAGAUAGGAUGAGUAUAUAUAUAAUUAUUUACACAUGUAGUUAUUUGUAAAAUUCCUGGCAGCUGCUUAAUUAAUUAAAUAGAUUAUUAAGAUGUCAAUCAUAGAAGAAGAAGAGUAAGAUGCUGUCUACCCAAUAGAAAAAAGAAAAAAAAGAAGAAGAAGAAGAGUGGAAACAAAAAUUUGACUUGAAUAGAAGUACAAGUAUCUAAGAACAGUAUCAUGAAAACAAAGAGUACUGUGUCUUGCAUAAUAAGUAAAACUAAAAUACACUGAAAUUAAGAAUAAGUUCAAACUUCUAGCCUCAGAAGAAUUCUUUCCAACCCGCCCUUGUUAUGCAGACUGUCCAAUCUCAUUCAUAAUUUGAGCCUCUCUUGUACAGUAUACAGGAAAUUGAAAUAUGCAUCCCUCCAGGUCUUGAUAAGCAAUAAUGAACCACAAACUCCCACUAACCCUAUAAUGAAGCCAAGCACAACGGAAAUAGACAAGCCUAGAAUUUGAUUCCCGUCAUUCGUAUCAUCAUCUGAAUCAGUACCAUUGAAUGGUUGGCACGGAUUUAAAAGCGGGGAACCACAAAGCUUUGGAUUCCCCUCAAAUGCUGAGACAUUCAAGCCUUGGAGCUGAGUGCUUUUUGGUAUUUCCCCUUCCAAAUUAUUAUACGAGACAUUUAAAGAUGACAAGAAACUAAGAUGCGCCAAUGAAGCUGGGAUUUCUCCUGACAAAUGAUUCAUUGAAAGAUCCAAAAUCUCCAAGUUUUUGAGAUUAGAUAUUUGGUCUGGAAUGUUGCCUGACACCAGGUUGGCGCUGAGAUCAAAUAUAUGGAGAAGUUGCAGCUUUCCGAUUUCAGUAGGUAUAUUGCCACUGAUGCUAUUGUUGCCUAACAAUAUAGAUGGUGGAUAGUAAGACAAGGAAUUGAACUGUAACAUGCUUGCAUCAGGCAUGGCUUGGGAGACGUGGAGAGGCAAUUCAAGAUAACCAUGAUCUACUUGAGCUGCAGUUUGUUCAGAUACCAACAUUGGUAGUGAGCAAAGUUCUUUUGGAAUUUCACCUGUGAUUAGGUUGGACGCCAAGUUUAUAGAACAGAGCAUUGGAGAAGUCCCCAACCAAGUAGGAAUUGAACCUGUGAUUCUAUUACGUGACAUAUCCAAGAUCUCUAGCUUCUUGAGCUUAGACAACCACAUAGGUAUCUGACCGGUUAGCUCACAACCAUUCAAAGCCAAAAUCCUAAGAUUUUGGAACCCAUCAAGGUCAGCGAUGUGAUCACCAUCUGGCAUUUCUUCACCUAUGAAGUUGUAUGAAAGAAUGAGUACUGUGAGAUUUCUGCCCUUCAAUAUAUCCAUAGCACCUGUGAGAUUGAUCAGUCUGUUCCCAGAAAGUGAUAGGAAGGAUAGGUGUUUUAAUGAGGCAAUCUCGGGUUGUAUUUGUCCCUGUAGAUUGUUGAAGCUUAAUCGAAUUGCUCUAAGGGACUUGCAUGAGUAAAGGCUUAUUGGCAAGAUACCAGUAAAAUGAUUACUCAUGAAGUCAAGUUUACGAAGUUGACCAAGUCUAGAGAAAUUAUAAGUUGAGAUAUCUCCGUCCAAAAGGUUGAAUCCUAGAUUCAGUUCCAUAAGGUUUGUGCAAUUCAGCAAAGAUGGUGGCAAAGAACCUUCUAGAUUGUUGGAAUGAAGGAGCAAGACUUUCAAUUUGGAGAGCUUCCCAAUAUCUAUUGGAAGCAUGCCACUGAACUGAUUCAAGUAGAGGUCAAGUACUGUGAGGUUAGUAAGUUUAACAAUUCUGUUACUGAUGCCCCCUCUAAAAGAAUUUGCAGGGAUUGCAAGUUCUUCUAGUGCGGUAGAAUCAUAGAUAUCUUCCGGAAGUGAUCCUGAGAGGUUAUUGUGACCAGCACGAAAAACUUCCAGUUUGGAACAGUUUCCUAGUGUGCGAGAGAGAUUGCCUCCAAAAUUAUUGUAGGAAAAAUCUAAUAGCCUAAUCAAAGAAGAGUGGACACAAAUAGGGGACGGGAUAUAACCUGUGAAUUGGUUGUUCGUGACAUUGAUAUGAGACAGAUUCUUUGCUUGUUGGAAGAAGGAUGAUGGAAUUGCACCAUGGAAUCGAUUGCUAGACAAAUCCACCAUCCGAAUAUUAUUGGAUGAUGAUAGAGAACCUGGUAGCUCUCCAGAAAGAAAGUUAAAACUCAAAUCAAGUAUCUCAAGAAGACCCAGGGACAAGAAGAAUCCAGCUUGAUCUAAAGAACCAUGAAGUGAAUUGCGAGAGAGAUUGAGGUAGGUUAGAUGUGUGAGAUUACUGAGUGAUGAUGAGGAAAAAAGACCUCCUUUGAGUUUGAGGCCUUUGGAGGAUAGGUGCAAAUGGGUUACUCGACCAACCGCAUCGCAAGUAAUGCCUUCCCAUUUGCAACAAUCCAAGCUGGUCCAAUUUAAGGAAGGAUAAGACAGAGUGAGGGCAAAAGACAAGAGAGAG